AAAAGCUAUGAGAAAUAAUGUGCCCAGGGACCGUGGAGACACAGCCAUGGAAGUUGGAAUCUAUGCAAAUAUCCUUGAAAAACAAGCAAAGGAGGAAUCUGUGCCAGAAGUGGGAUCCAGGCCGUGUGUUUCCACAGCCCAAGAUGAGGCCAAACACUCCCAGGAGCUACAGUAUGCCACCCCCGUGUUCCAGGAGGUGGCACC
Molecule: long non-coding RNA, 204 nt
Filed under: Homo sapiens (human)
Lineage: Eukaryota; Metazoa; Chordata; Mammalia; Primates; Hominidae
Description: long non-coding RNA NONHSAT055278.2
Source: RNAcentral